UGUAUUGUUGUUCAAAAACUGAACAAAAUUGACGGAAAAAAUUGGCGGCAGUGGUGGUAUCUGUCAUUUUACCGGAAAUUUCGCCCGCCACCUUCGCCGAAAGACGCAUUUUUAAGCCGCCAGGGCAAGAUAUUUACUUUGUUUUAGAGUGUUGUCGGUGAUUUUUUGUUAAUAAAUACUCUAAUUAUUAUGGCUCCAAGGACAGCGAAGGGAAAGAAAGCUGCAGAUGUGAAAUUAGCUGAAAAUGAAGUACCCAAAAAGGGCAGAGGGAAGGCAAAAGCAGCUGAAGAGCCUGAGCCAGAUAAUGAUACAGAAGACAGUGAAAUGGUAAUUGUUGAAAAAAAAACAAAGCCGUAAGAAAGUUGCAAAUGAUGUGAAUGAACAAGAGCAAAAUGGUAAAA
Manduca sexta (tobacco hornworm) is the source of this 401-nucleotide long non-coding RNA. RefSeq lists it as uncharacterized. NCBI's taxonomy places the organism in Eukaryota, Metazoa, Arthropoda, Insecta, Lepidoptera, Sphingidae. The record is from RefSeq and is a predicted model, not a curated record. The transcript has 2 exons.